RNAcentral lists this ribosomal RNA (305 nucleotides) under uncultured bacterium. Its description in RNAcentral is "bacterial SSU rRNA". It matches the Rfam family "Bacterial small subunit ribosomal RNA", at positions 335 to 633 of the family's 1533-position model. The record is from RNAcentral.
UCUCCUACGGGGGGCAGCAGUAGGGAAUUUUCGUCAAUGGGCGCAAGCCUGAACGAGCGAUGCCGCGUGAGUGAAGAAGGCCUUCGGGUCGUAAAGCUCUGUUGCGGGGGAAAAAAGGUAGCAUCAGGAAAUGGGUGCUGACUGAUGGUGCCCCGCCAGAAAGUCACGGCUAACUACGUGCCAGCAGCCGCGGUAAUACGGAGGAUGCGAGCGUUAUCCGGAUUUAUUGGGUUUAAAGGGUGCGCAGGCGGCGUGUCAAGCGAGCGGUAAAAUAGCGGGGCUCAACCCCGUCGAGCCGUUUGAAC